AAGACUAUACUUCACAGGAUCAUUUCUGUAGUAAGUCUUCACCAAUUAGGUUUCCAACUCGGAAACUCAAUACAGCCACGAUGAUGAGGUGAGCGCCUUGGCUGGAGCGUGAAAAGGGUCCAGGAGAUGCACCCCGGUGUGACUCUUGGAUCAUUGAGGAUCGUCAGCCUCGAGAAUUUCUCGGGGUGAGGUCAAGGCGCAUGCUGAGUGGU
Lutzomyia longipalpis is the source of this 212-nucleotide non-coding RNA. NCBI's taxonomy places the organism in Eukaryota, Metazoa, Arthropoda, Insecta, Diptera, Psychodidae. The record is from Rfam.